Long non-coding RNA from Vitis riparia (riverbank grape), 1707 nucleotides. RefSeq lists it as uncharacterized. The transcript has 3 exons. NCBI's taxonomy places the organism in Eukaryota, Viridiplantae, Streptophyta, Magnoliopsida, Vitales, Vitaceae. The record is from RefSeq and is a predicted model, not a curated record.
CUCCGGGUUACUAUUUCCCUUUAAAAAAAGUAGACACAAUGCAAAGAAUCGGCACGCUAAAGUCUAAUUCUGGUGUGCAAGUUGUUUGAAAAUACAUCCAAGGAAAGUAGAAACAUUGGCCCACGGUUCCCUUUUUUCCAAUGUCCCAACAUCAGUGAUGACGUUUUGGUCACAUGGUGGAGCCCUCUGUCAGGAUGUACAUGCAGGAUGGUGCCUGCUAUCAUAAAGCCUUUACCAACCAUUCUUGAAUACAUAUGUGAUUUAGCAGGAUGGAAGUGCAACUGGUCAUUAAUUAAGCAACAAAAAUGGUUGUGGCUAAUUGUUCAUGCAGUUGAAUUCUGCAACAAUUUCUUAUUGUUCGGGGCUUAGGUUUCUGUUCAUUUUUUCAUUAUUAUGUUUUUAGGCUUUGUUUUUAUGACUAACCCCAUGCCACACGGUGAAGCGUUCACAGAGAAUGACUGGAAAUUUGUCCAGCUUGGGCUUGCUCUAUUUUAGAACAUUUUAGCUAUUCAAGACAUCUCAUUGUAGUAGAAGGCUACGAGUCUGCAUGCCACUCGAUUUUUAUCUCUGAAUAACCAAUUGUUGGAGCUGUUAUUCUUCAAUGAUUUAGAAGAUGAGCUGUUAUUUUUGGGAAAAUGCUGUGUUAUAAUACACAAUAGUAUGAAUUGGGAUAUUCUACUACUGAAAACAGAGCACUCUGUUUUUAUGGUGUCCAAGCAUGAAAGCUAUUGUCACAUAGCGAGGUCUGAUUUCCAACUGUGAAUCAAAUUGCUUGAGGUACUUCAUAUGCAGAUUGCUGCAAGUCGCUUUGGCCAUCAAUCACCUUUAAGGGAUGAUAAUGAUGGGAAUUGGAUCAGUCAUACCAAGACUAACAAUAGAAAGUUUGUUAAAAAAAUUUUGUUUCUUUACUUUUUCCCCAUUGUACCUCAUUUUUAUUUAAUAUAUUGAGAUUUCAGUGAAGGUUUGGGUGUUUGUCACAAUGCCUGUUGAGGCAGCAUCAGAUGAUAUUUGAUGACAGAUAGGGUAUCUAUGGGGGUUGAAGGCUCCUUACAUGCGGCAACACAGUUCUUGAUUUUUAAUGACAGAACGGUAAGUGAACUUUAUAUGUAGUUUUUUCCUUUCUCAUGGGUUCGUUUGUAAGUGUCCCAAUUUUGAAACAGAUGAAUAAUGGAUGGUGAAAGUGUCCUACACAUCAUAGAACAAAGAACAAGGACCAAGGAUCAGGAGUUCCCUUUACUUCUUGGGAUCUGUAUUGACACACCCAUCUCAAAUUUCACUAUUUGCAUUUUCUUUUGGGAAGUUUUUAUUGAGGACAGAAUAAUAAAUUUGCAUAUAGCUCUGUGAUAUCUGUCUAACCAUGUUGGCUUUUCCAUUUUGUAGAUUUGCAUGUUAGAUUUAGUGCUUAAACUAUCACUGGAAUAUUCUAAAGAGCCUUAAACAACUCACAUCCUUCUUUACAAGUUAGAUUUAUGAUUAGACUGAUCAAGGGUUGACUCAUUUUCUCUUAAAUCUGAUCAAAUCCUUCGACUUGCAUACUAACCCAAAAGGUUUCCCCUUUCAUUUCAACAACUUAGAAGUUCAUUGUUGAUGAUGAUGUUACUGUUAUAUUUAUUAUUACUACAACUAAUUUGAUAAGCAAUUGUUGUUAUUAUCUUUCCUUCAUCUUACUUGGAGAGGUCGCUAUCCAGUGCCAUGUUCUACCAUUAC